AUAAUGUGUGUGUGUAUAUAUAUAUAUAUACUCAACCCAAUCUUAACCAUAAGUAACAAGACUUUUGCCAUGUUAAGUUUUUUUAUAACAGUCACAGAUUUUUACACAAUUAAGUUUCCCCACGUGUGGACUGAAAAAUGAUCCCCACAAGGUCAAAAUAACAGGUUUCUGUCAUUUGGUCCCGACAAUGUAAUACAUACAUGGCCACACACACACAUACACACACACACACGCGCGUAAAAGCAGCUUUAGUAGUUCGGCUAGGAGCCUUGAUAUAUUUAUAGGCUACUACACAAUGACUCCUUUGGGUAUGACUUCAAUUGAGAGCCGCUUGGAUCAAUGAUUCAUUGAUGCACACAUAUCCGUAUGUUCUGCUGACUGCACAGCCUACCUGAAAGGCGCCUCUGUAUGAUACGGAUCUCUGAAACUGAGAGAUUCUGAUCAGCCCUUAAACAGGUAAUAGUCAGAUGCUGAGAAUCCAUUACAGGGUUUUUCACGCGCACUCAUUGUUUGCUUGACGUUUAUCCCGCGGCUUUGAUCGAAAAAGUCCUGUUUGUCAGAUGGAAUCCGAUGUUUCUCCAAACAGCAAUUGCACUCUCCCUACUCCUGAGUGAGUCAUUUUUCUCUGUGCAAGAGAAGGUGUCAGGGUUACAAAUGACAUUCUGUGCAUUUAAUAUAGUCUGAAACUUUGCAGUCUCAGGUAAAUCAACCCCCCCCCUCACAAUUCCCAGAACUCCUGUUUACUAAUGGAUGAAGAAUCUGCCUGGUAAAGGGUGCCAUUAAGUGCAGCUAAAACCAGCCCGUAACAAACACUUGCUGAAAUAUUAAUGCUUUUUUCUCUCUCUUUCCUCGCAAGUUCCGGUUUUAGUUCAUUUUUACAGCAUAACUGCAGCAGGACUCCCAUGACAACUGGGCCCUGUUGUAAUCAUAUUAAACCACUUGAUUUGCGUUAUGCGUUACAUCAAGACCCGUUAAUUACACUCUUUGUUAUAUUAAUUCGAUUAAUCAUACCGAAAGCAUAUUAAACAAACAUAAUAAUAUCAGAUAAAAUACUCAUUUUGCGCACAUUUUUAGAACGUAUGAUGUGCAAUGACGACGUAAACAGCCCAUUAUUAUAUGCACUAUAUAUUUUACCGUCGUUCUGAGGAGUCUUUAUAAUCCCAGUGUAGCUGGGAAGAGAUCCCACCGUACAGACUCUGCUCUCUUAUUCAUUAGCCUGCAUCAUCCAGGGUUCUUUAUAAUAGAUGAGAUAUUGUUGGCAUAUCACACAGCCUCCUAUGAAAGCUACCUUUGUUGUCAUUCCCGAAGCACAUACUGUACUCCUUUACAAAGCCAAUGUCAACCGUUCAAAAGGCCCGCUUUUCAACAGAUAGCUACAUCCCUACCCCACCUUGCCCUCUAGAACAGAUAUCGCUCCAAUCCCCAGUGCUGGGCUUUUUUUUUGCCCCCAUACUUUCACUUCUCCUCUCACUUCACCCUUAAAUGCAGCAGAAAGAAGGUGGAUUUGCGCUGGUAGCUUUAUUUGAGGCGGCCUCGGUGCUGGAAGCUGGUUCACCGUGGAUGUCUGACUCGCCACGUAAUGGCUCCGUGUGGCAUUUUCGCGCACGCAAGAUAGGGUAGCCCUGACGAAGAGCCCUGAGAUUUGCCGUCAGGACAGAUUAACUUUAUCUUCAGAUGAAGAGAGGACAUUGCUGAGGAAAGAAGCCGUCAUCGCCCACUUGAGACCAGAAACUACCUGCCUAUUCUGGUCACCCAGUGGAGGAGGACCCAAGAGUCCCUACAUUACUGACAGUGGCAUAUAGAUGAUGAGGAGGGGAGUGGAAGGCAAGCCCCACCAACGACCUAUCAGCAGCUCAAUCUCCUUGACGUCUAGGUGACCAUCAUCCAGACCUUAGCUCCAAGACACACCGUAUGCUGGCUGAGCUAAAUUACCCGAAACGGAGCGGAAAUGGUGCAAGUGCAUGACUAAGACCCAGCUGACAGCAUAGCAAGUCCUCCUCAAGGCGACAGUCUUCCAAAACAAACCCAGAACUGUUGCUAACCAGCCCCCCCCCAAAAAGCCUCGAAUUUCUCCUCUCCCCUCAUGCCCCACCUUGUCUCUCACUACCAGAGACUUUGCCAAUAUGGUGGCUUUUAUCAGCAACAUAUUUGGCCUAACUUACUUUCGCUUCAUGUCCCCCUUUCUCAUUACGUUCCUUUCCAAGUGCAUUCGCAUGAAACUUCUCGAGAACAUUGUCCGUGGAUCUGAAUGUAGAGAACAAUCAGUUCCCUGUGCCCUAUUCCUUUCUGAAACAUAACAGCAAACUAUUUCCAGAAAGACAACAACCCACAACUGCACAUCAUCUUCUUCAGAGGUGUGUUUCAUGGACGUUUGAGCCCCUUCUCAUGUUCAUUUGUGUAUGGAAGCUCAAUCGCAUUCCGGAUGAUUCUGCCUGUCCGGAUCACUUCCUUUGCCCCUAAGUGGAUCUAUUGCCCGACGUCUGCAAAAUGUCACUCAGAGUGUUCAAGUGAAACGUUGUUUGUGUGGACUGGAACAGGCCUAUGUAUUUAUAAACUUUUACAGCACGGAUGCUCUGCCGUAUUGGGGAUCUGAUUAUGCUUUUUUUAUAACCACAUUUCCAGUGCAAGGUUGUGGUGAACCUGGAGUCUAUCAGAGGAAGCCCAGUUCACAAGGCAGACGGACACUUAUGACAGGAAACCAGUUCACCACAGGGCACACACACGCUGACACACCCAUGGAGACACUACAAACUUGGACAAAUUUAGAGACACCAGCCUACUAACAUAUUCACAUAGUCAUUUGUGCAAUCAGUACUGGACACAAGAUAAUAGUUACUUGUGGAGAAAAUGAAACUAAAAAAGGACUUUUAUAAUAUUCCUCCAGGCAUUCCUACCCUUUCUGCAAACAUAAUCUUUAGCACAAACAGUAUAUAAUGUCACUAGUUAAGGUAUAAUUUAUUGUACAUCACUUAAAUCAAGAAAAAGUGAAAUUGCAGUUUGCUGUAAUUGAAAUGUUAUGAAUUCCAACAUGAUCACAUGCCUGGCAACCUCACUGAGACUAGCAGCCAUCGUCUACAGCCAGGUCACAGUGCUCUGGGGCCUUCGGUAAGCCUGACAAUCUUCAUGCCGGCUCUGAAACAUUGUAGAUUCUUCUGCGACCCUCUAUGCUUUGCUGUGUCAUUGGUGAUAUUUGUUUGCUAUGCUUUGUUAUUACUUCAUCUAUUAACAGAAAUUAGUUUUCAUUUAAGGCAGCGUUUCUUAACCUGGUCCUCGGGGACCCCCAGACGUGGACUGUGGCAUAGAGCUGGGAGCAAAGACGUGGACUGUGGCAUAGAGCUGGGAGCAAAGACGUGGACGGUCUGGGGGUAUUUGAGGACUGGUUUGAGAAACAUUGACUUAACGUGACUGACAUUCUGUAUAGGCAGGGGAAACAAAUCAAACAUUUUAGUACCACAUUUGCCAUACUGUCCCAUCUAAUGAGAUCUGGCAAAAGACACUUCACUGGACAAGCCAAAGACAAUUUACAUAAACAAAUGGACAACUGCCACUAACGAAAAAAGCAGUGUCAUUAUCAUUGCUGUUUUGACGGCAACCUGCAGAUGUAUUAACAAACCAUGCAAUGGCAAUGACUAUCAAACAGAAUCAUUCUUAUCAAUACUUUGAUAUCAAAGUCUAAGUAUUAAACAAAAUGAAUAAUGUAAUCAUUA
Long non-coding RNA from Paramormyrops kingsleyae, 3707 nucleotides. RefSeq lists it as uncharacterized. NCBI's taxonomy places the organism in Eukaryota, Metazoa, Chordata, Actinopteri, Osteoglossiformes, Mormyridae. The record is from RefSeq and is a predicted model, not a curated record.